Molecule: ribosomal RNA, 464 nt
Filed under: uncultured bacterium
Lineage: Bacteria
Description: partial 16S ribosomal RNA
Rfam family: Bacterial small subunit ribosomal RNA
Source: RNAcentral
CUACGGGGCGCUGCAGUGGGGAAUAUUGGACAAUGGGGGAAACCCUGAUCCAGCAAUGCCACGUGUGUGAAGAAGGCCUGAGGGUUGUAAAGCACUUUUAUCAGCGAGGAAGGUUAUUAGGUUAAGAGCUAAAUAACUUGACGUUAGCUGAAGAAAAAGCACCGGCUAACUCUGUGCCAGCAGCCGCGGUAAUACAGAGGGUGCAAGCGUUAAUCGGAAUGACUGGGCGUAAAGCGCACGUAGGUGGAUAAUUAAGUCAGAUGUGAAAUUCCCGGGCUCAACCUGGGCAUUGCAUUUGAUACUGGUUAUCUAGAGUACUAUAGAGGGUAGAGGAAUUUCUGGUGUAGCGGUGAAAUGCGUAGAUAUCAGAAGGAACAUCGGUGGCGAAGGCGUCUACCUGGAUUGAUACUGACACUGAGGAGCGAAAGCGUGGGUAGCGAACAGGAUUAGAUACCCUGGUAGUC